RNAcentral lists this ribosomal RNA (511 nucleotides) under uncultured bacterium. RNAcentral describes it as "bacterial SSU rRNA". It matches the Rfam family "Bacterial small subunit ribosomal RNA", at positions 56 to 571 of the family's 1533-position model. The record is from RNAcentral.
UGCAAGUCGCACGAGAAACUAAUUAGCUUGCUAAGAGGUGGACAGUGGCGCAAGGGAGAGUAACGCGUGGUUACUUGCCCUCGAGACCGGGAUAGUGUCGGGAAACUGGCAGUAAUACCGGAUAACAUCUUCGGAUCAAAUGGUGUGAUUCCGCUCGAGGAUAGGACCGCGUACUAUUAGCUUGUUGGUGAGGUAACGGCUCACCAAGGCUGCGAUGGUUACCGGGUGUGAGAGCAUGGCCCGGCUCACUGGGACUGAGACACUGCCCAGACACCUACGGGUGGCUGCAGUCGAGAAUCUUCGGCAAUGGACGAAAGUCUGACCGAGCGACGCCGCGUGCGGGAUGAAGGCCCUCGGGUUGUAAACCGCUGUCAGUAGUUAGGAAAUCCAUGAGGGUUAUCUCUCAUGGUUGACCGAUCUUCAGAGGAAGGACGGGCUAAGUUCGUGCCAGCAGCCGCGGUAAGACGAACCGUCCAAACGUUAUUCGGUAUCACUGGGCUUAAAGCGUGCG